UACGGAGGGUGCAAGCGUUAUCCGGAUUCACUGGGUUUAAAGGGUGCGUAGGCGGGCAGAUAAGUCAGUGGUGAAAUACCUGAGCUUAACUUGGGAACUGCCAUUGAUACUAUUUGUCUUGAAUGUCGUGGAGGUUAGCGGAAUAUGUCAUGUAGCGGUGAAAUGCUUAGAGAUGACAUAGAACACCUAUUGCGAAGGCAGCUAACUACGCGAAUAUUGACGCUGAGGCACGAAAGCGUGGGGAGCAAACAGG
This 253-nucleotide ribosomal RNA is filed under the name uncultured bacterium. Its description in RNAcentral is "partial 16S ribosomal RNA". It matches the Rfam family "Bacterial small subunit ribosomal RNA", at positions 524 to 776 of the family's 1533-position model. The record is from RNAcentral.